Pan troglodytes (chimpanzee) is the source of this 1077-nucleotide long non-coding RNA. The record is from Ensembl. NCBI's taxonomy places the organism in Eukaryota, Metazoa, Chordata, Mammalia, Primates, Hominidae.
CAGCGGCCCUCCGCCUCUUGGGUUUGGGUGAUGAUGGUUUCACCUCAGCGGCCCUCCGCCUCUUGGGUUUGGGUGAUGGUUUCACCUCAGCGGCCCUCCGCCUCUUGGGUUCGGGUGAUGAUGGUUUCACCUCAGCGGCCCUCCGCCUCUUGGGUUCGGGUGAUGAUGGUUUCACCUAAGCGGCCCUCUGCCUCUUGGGUUCGGGUGAUGAUGGUUUCACCUCAGCGGCCCUCCGCCUCUUGGGUUUGGGUGGUUCUUCUGCCUCAGCGUCCUGAGUAGCUAAGGGAGGUGUCUGGUGGCUCAUCCUGUUUUUUAAAGUUUCAGCUGUGAGGUAGGGCCAGUACGGCAAUCCUGAAGAAUGACAAUUCUCCGCUGCCCCCAUUCUGACCUGUAGGGCCAAAGGAGGUAAUGUUUUGACACAUAUUCAUUUGAUGGACAAAAUUACCGCCACCAACACACUCUGCACCUUCUGUUGCUGGUGAUAGAUUUUUGCACCUUUCCAUCCUCCAGGUUUCAAAAUAGCAGUAUCAGUGUCUUAAUAUCACCCUUCCUCUGAGUACUGCCAAUAGCUGGGGGGUAAAGAAAAGUCAUUGGGACACACUGUUGUCUCCACAUGCCAGUGUGUCUGUCUGCAAAUGUAGGCAGGCUGGGGUCCUGCCCCAGGGAAGACAGAGUCAUAACAGAGUAAUAAAGAAGCAUGUUUGAGACACAGGAGUGUCUAUGUCUAUCCUCAUUCCUCCCUCACAGCCAUCACCAGAGCAUGUUUCUUGCACCAGGUCAACAGACAGUAAGAGACAGUAAGAGAGGUAUGAAAAGCCCAUUGUCCACAUAUGUUGCAGCUUCUUUUUGGAGAAUGUUUUCCAGGCCUUUUAUGUUCUGUCUCUGAUUCUCAGAACUUUGCAAGGUCAGUGUGACCACCCUGCUCCAAAUCUAAGAAAACAGAGGUUUCCAGAGGAAGGAGAAAUUGUGCCCAGGGUCACACAGCUUGCAAGAGGCAGAGUGGAAGUUGAUUCCAGCUCUGCCUGCAGGCCCCUCUCAUUUCCCCUCUGUUUCCCUUCUUGACAAAGGAUCUUCUUC